UGAGGAAUAUUGGUCAAUGGACGGAAGUCUGAACCAGCCAAGUAGCGUGCAGGAUGACGGCCCUAUGGGUUGUAAACUGCUUUUAUAUGGGGAUAAAGUGAGCCACGUGUGGCUUAUUGUAGGUACCAUAUGAAUAAGGACCGGCUAAUUCCGUGCCAGCAGCCGCGGUAAUACGGAAGGUCCGGGCGUUAUCCGGAUUUAUUGGGUUUAAAGGGAGCGUAGGCCGGAGAUUAAGCGUGUUGUGAAAUGUAGUGGCUCAACCUCUGCACUGCAGCGCGAACUGGUCUUCUUGAGUACGCACAACGUGGGCGGAAUUCGUGGUGUAGCGGUGAAAUGCUUAGAUAUCACGAAGAACUCCGAUUGCGAAGGCAGCUCACGGGAGCGCAACUGACGCUGAAGCUCGAAAGUGCGGGUAUCGAACA
RNAcentral lists this ribosomal RNA (422 nucleotides) under uncultured Prevotella sp. RNAcentral's name for it is "bacterial SSU rRNA". It matches the Rfam family "Bacterial small subunit ribosomal RNA", at positions 355 to 774 of the family's 1533-position model. The record is from RNAcentral. Lineage: Bacteria; Pseudomonadati; Bacteroidota; Bacteroidia; Bacteroidales; Prevotellaceae.